AGAGGAGUGGCGAACGGGUGAGUAACACGUGGGUAACCUGCCCAUCAGAAGGGGAUAACACUUGGAAACAGGUGCUAAUACCGUAUAACAAUCGAAACCGCAUGGUUUUGAUUUGAAAGGCGCUUUCGGGUGUCGCUGAUGGAUGGACCCGCGGUGCAUUAGCUAGUUGGUGAGGUAACGGCUCACCAAGGCCACGAUGCAUAGCCGACCUGAGAGGGUGAUCGGCCACAUUGGGACUGAGACACGGCCCAAACUCCUACGGGAGGCAGCAGUAGGGAAUCUUCGGCAAUGGACGAAAGUCUGACCGAGCAACGCCGCGUGAGUGAAGAAGGUUUUCGGAUCGUAAAACUCUGUUGUUAGAGAAGAACAAGGAUGAGAGUAACUGUUCACCCCUUGACGGUAUCUAACCAGAAAGCCACGGCUAACUACGUGCCAGCAGCCGCGGUAAUACGUAGGUGGCAAGCGUUGUCCGGAUUUAUUGGGCGUAAAGCGAGCGCAGGCGGUUUCUUAAGUCUGAUGUGAAAGCCCCCGGCUCAACCGGGGAGGGUCAUUGGAAACUGGGAGACUUGAGUGCAGAAGAGGAGAGUGGAAUUCCAUGUGUAGCGGUGAAAUGCGUAGAUAUAUGGAGGAACACCAGUGGCGAAGGCGGCUCUCUGGUCUGUAACUGACGCUGAGGCUCGAA
This 682-nucleotide ribosomal RNA is filed under the name uncultured Bacilli bacterium. RNAcentral describes it as "bacterial SSU rRNA". It matches the Rfam family "Bacterial small subunit ribosomal RNA", at positions 89 to 757 of the family's 1533-position model. The record is from RNAcentral. Lineage: Bacteria; Bacillati; Bacillota; Bacilli.